GACGAACGCUGGCGGCGUGCUUAACACAUGCCAGUCGAACGGAAAGGCCCUGCUUGCAGGGUACUCGAGUGGCGAACGGGUGAGUAACACGUGGGUGAUCUGCCCUGCACUUCGGGAUAAGCCUGGGAAACUGGGUCUAAUACCGGAUAGGAGCCAUUUUUAGUGUGAUGGUUGGAAAGUUUUUUCGGUGUAGGAUGAGCUCGCGGCCUAUCAGCUUGUUGGUGGGGUAAUGGCCUACCAAGGCGGCGACGGGUAGCCGGCCUGAGAGGGUGGACGGCCACAUUGGGACUGAGAUACGGCCCAGACUCCUACGGGAGGCAGCAGUGGGGAAUAUUGCACAAUGGGCGCAAGCCUGAUGCAGCGACGCCGCGUGGGGGAUGACGGCCUUCGGGUUGUAAACUCCGUUCGCUAGGGACGGAGCUUUUUGUGACGGUACCUAGAGAAGAAGCACCGGCUAACUACGUG
RNAcentral lists this ribosomal RNA (465 nucleotides) under uncultured bacterium. Its description in RNAcentral is "partial 16S ribosomal RNA". It matches the Rfam family "Bacterial small subunit ribosomal RNA", at positions 28 to 507 of the family's 1533-position model. The record is from RNAcentral.